AACGAACGCUGGCGGCAUGCCUAACACAUGCAAGUCGAACGAGACCUUCGGGUCUAGUGGCGCACGGGUGCGUAACGCGUGGGAACCUGCCCUUAGGUUCGGAAUAACUCCCCGAAAGGGGUGCUAAUACCGGAUAAUGUCUUCGGACCAAAGAUUUAUCGCCUUUGGAUGGGCCCGCGUUGGAUUAGCUAGUUGGUAGGGUAAAAGCCUACCAAGGCGACGAUCCAUAGCUGGUCUGAGAGGAUGAUCAGCCACACUGGGAAUGAGACACGGCCCAGACUCCUACGGGAGGCAGCAGUGGGGAAUAUUGGACAAGGGGCGAAAGCCUGAUCCAGCAAUGCCGCGUGAGUGAUGAAGGCCUUAGGGUUGUAAAGCUCUUUUACCCGGGAUGAUAAUGACAGUACCGGGAGAAUAAGCUCCGGCUAACUCCGUG
Molecule: ribosomal RNA, 433 nt
Filed under: uncultured bacterium
Lineage: Bacteria
Description: partial 16S ribosomal RNA
Rfam family: Bacterial small subunit ribosomal RNA
Source: RNAcentral